GAUGAACGCUCGCUACAGGCUUAACACAUGCAAGUCGCGGGGCAGCAUGGGGGUUGCUUGCACUCCCCGAUGGCGACCGGCGCACGGGUGAGUAACGCGUAUCCAACCUGCCCUUCACCACGGGAUAACCCGGCGAAAGUCGGACUAAUACCGUAUGUUGUCCAUUGACGGCCUCCGAUUUGGACGAAAGGCUUGGCGGUGAGGGAUGGGGAUGCGUCCGAUUAGCCAGACGGCGGGGUAACGGCCCACCGUGGCUACGAUCGGUAGGGGUUCUGAGAGGAAGGUCCCCCACACUGGAACUGAGACACGGUCCAGACUCCUACGGGAGGCAGCAGUGAGGAAUAUUGGUCAAUGGGCGUAAGCCUGAACCAGCCAAGUAGCGUGCAGGAGGACGGCCCUAUGGGUUGUAAACUGCUUUUAUGCGGGGAUAAAGUGGCCCACGUGUGGGCUUUUGCAGGUACCGCAUGAAUAAGGACCGGCUAAUUCCGUG
This 490-nucleotide ribosomal RNA is filed under the name uncultured bacterium. RNAcentral's name for it is "partial 16S ribosomal RNA". It matches the Rfam family "Bacterial small subunit ribosomal RNA", at positions 28 to 507 of the family's 1533-position model. The record is from RNAcentral.